CUAGUCAGCGAUCCGAAAGAAAAUAAAGCUCAAAAGAUCAGUAAUAAAAAACAAAGGAAAAGAGUAGUAAGGAUGAUUCGUUACCUUUGUUGUCACUACUGUCACCGUAGAGUGCAAGGAUCUGGAUGAGAAGGGGCGACGGCAAUGUGGCCACCGCUGCUGUGAAAGGAAGAAAGUCAGAGAAGAGGAGAAGGAGCGGGACAAGAAGAAGAGAAGGAGGAAGAUAAGAAGAGAAAAAGUGGGGCGAAGGGAAGAGAGGCAGAGAACAAGUGAUGAGUGGGGCAGUGGCAGCACCAGCGCCGCCGGCGAGAGGAAGUUGAGAGACUUGAGGAGAGACAGAGAGGGUCGGAGAUUAGGGUUUAGAGAGUUGUGAAUUUUGAAUUAAGAAGAGCUUUUAUAUGCCUAAGUUGGGUUAGGAUAAAAUUACGUCACUACACUUAAUUUCAGUUCAGUAGCUGUAAUUCCUUCAAGGGUUGCCCUCCUGGAUCGUAUUUCAAGUGAUCGAACCGAUUUCCUCACUCGACGACCCUAGUCUCGUUCACACGAUUCAGAUUUUCUGUUGGGCCCAACUUGAGCUUGAGCCCAAAUUAAUUCCAAUUCAACAUAAUUAAACCCAAUGGAAAUCCUUUAACAAAUUAAUAAACGAAUUGGGAUAAGUUUAAUUAGCUUAAUUAAUGUUACUGUUAAAAUCGUUUUCUAAUCUAAUAAUCAUCAAAACUAAAUGAUCCAAAUAACUCAUUUAAUCAGUAACAAUAUAACAAAAAUAAAGACUGUUCUCACUAAAUAAAAGUUUGGAGGAAAACAUGAUUAAAAGCGAUUAAAAUGACCAACUAUUGCUUAGUUUGACACCAUUUACAUCUUGAACCCAAAGACUAUAAAACGACCCAAAAUAUGACGUCAAAAUCGAGAAAAUAUGGGGUUCUUUGUUCAAAACAGGUUUCUGGAAUUUCAUUAAAACAUGCAAAAUAAUCGAAGUUUUCAACAAAUAAACUACAACGAUUGUACUAAAAUUAAUAAGUCAUUUUGAUCUACAUUUGUGUCUUUAUGUCUAGGAAUGGGUAAUUAUAGCUUGACUUUAUCUAAUUCUGUCCUCCGGUUAAAAAAUUGAAGUAAUUUCAGACACUGUUUUACCUUCCUGAGUAGAGUUUUUCCUCUACUCAAACUUUCUCGAGCAAAGUUAGGUUCGCGCUCUCUGCACCUGAAGUCAAAAUAAAAAUCUAUUUUCUUUGUGUUAACCGACAAAAGUGGAUCUCUUUAAAAUAGGAAUAAGUGUGUUUCACCUCGUUUCGGUCCCAUCGUCGGCAUGCCUUGCAGUGAGGGUCGAGCCAUCGUCCGUGCAUCCUUCUUUUUUCCUCUUUAGUCAACGGCCCCAAAGAAAAUCGAAGUAAAAAAGCUAAAACGAUCAGUAAUUAAAAAUAAAUGGAAGAAGCUUGUACAACCCAGAAUUUCGUAGAUCGGUGUUGCAUGUCAGUGGAGGACUCGCCGGAGGCGCGGGUGACAUGAACCCCGAAACUUAUUAUUUUGAAAAAAGAAAAGGAAUAGAGGAGUAAGGACGAUUUGCUAUCUCUAUCGUCUCCGCUGUCACCGUAGAGUUGACAGAGAUGAGAUGGAGAUACGCGGCAGCACUACCACCAUCACCGUGAGACGAAGAAGAAGAAGCAGAAGCAAAGGAGGGAAAAAGAGGUAAGAACAAAAGAAGAAGAAAAGACGAGGAGCCAAGAGAAGAGAGGCAGAGAAGAAAGUGAUUAGUGAGGCGACGGUGGUGCUACUACUGCCAUCGAGAGGAAGUUGAGAGAACAUAAAAGAGAGAGAGAGGAUCGGCGGCUAGGGUUUAGAGAGUUGUG
This 1844-nucleotide long non-coding RNA is filed under the name Linum usitatissimum (flax). RNAcentral describes it as "long non-coding RNA (LUSI_LNC007359)". The record is from RNAcentral. Lineage: Eukaryota; Viridiplantae; Streptophyta; Magnoliopsida; Malpighiales; Linaceae.